This is a long non-coding RNA of Anopheles gambiae (African malaria mosquito), 517 nucleotides long. RefSeq lists it as uncharacterized. NCBI's taxonomy places the organism in Eukaryota, Metazoa, Arthropoda, Insecta, Diptera, Culicidae. The transcript has 2 exons. The record is from RefSeq and is a predicted model, not a curated record.
GAUUGAUCUGUUGAGAGUGGAUAUUAGUGACUGACCGUGACUGAAGUCCACAUAUGGCCAUCGAUACAGUAGGCUCGAAAAAAAAAACGCGCGCAGACAGAAAGCCCAACACACAUCCGGGAAGUGCGGUAGCGGAAAAGUAUCACAGGCUGCGCUGAUGACUUCUUGAUGCAUAACGCGCGAUGAAAAAAACCCAUCAUCUUCGGCAGGCAUCUCGGUUGGGUCAAAGCUUUGAAAAACCUCCUUCCGAUCCGAGUGGAUCAAAUUUGUUUGGAACUAUUUUUUUUUUGUACUGUGCAAACUCAUUUCGGCACUGACGAUCUAUUGCAUCCAAUGACCUCUAACAUAUUUGGAUACGAUUUCCAAUAACCUUAUGGGGUUCGCAUUUCGUUCACAGGGUAGACGGAAUUCCAUUAGUCACCAGAAUGUUUGGAAUAUUUUGUUACGAUCAGCUAUUGCAAUCGAUUUCAAGAGAAGCAUACAUUUUUACAACUCUUAUGUGUUAGGUUCUUAAUCA